GCUAGGUGGCCAUAAUUUAAUUGAGAAAGGGUGGUGUUGUGACUUCAUUGUUGCAGUAUCCAUUGCAAAAUAAGAAGCAAGGCGGGGUCAGCUUCAGCUAUAUGGAUGCUUUUCCCCAACUGCAGCUAUGUGAAAAUAAGACCGAAAUUAAAGAUUUCCAGAAACUCACAGUUCUGCAAAGCAACAAUAGGGUUGAAAAUGGUAGGAAAAUAAACAAGAUUGCAAAAAGAAGAGAGAGAAACGAAAAUAUUUGAAAAUAAAAUUUACAGAAGGUUUUUGAUUCCUAUGAAUUUCACCAGCAGCAUUAAUCCAUUAGUUCAAGGAGACGUAUUGCAAAAUAUUUGCUCAUCUACCUAUUCAAUUUCUUUUAAAUAGACACUAUUACAGUAUUACCUUUUAGACUAGAGAAAUGGUGCCCUAUACCACAAAGCGACAGAACUGGAUGGUUUAACAUUCCUAUGCAUGCAGUUCUCUGCCUCAUUAAUUUUAUUUCAUGGGCAGACCAUGAGUUUUCUGCAACUAUUAACAAAGUAUGGGAAGUCUUUGUCCAAUGUAUCAACGAAGUAAAACGGUGUUCCAUAGCCACCAGAAAUACAACAGACGAAGUGACAGGGAAAACAAUACACAAAGCAGCAAACCCCAAGCAAGAGAGAGAGAGAGAGAACGAGCACGAAGACCUAAUGCGCCGAGAAGAUGCCGGGUUAAUUUCAUGAAAAAGAGCUCCAAAUGAAACAGACGUACAAGUAAAAUUGUACAUUUCCUCACAGG
RNAcentral lists this unclassified non-coding RNA (768 nucleotides) under Hevea brasiliensis (rubber tree). Lineage: Eukaryota; Viridiplantae; Streptophyta; Magnoliopsida; Malpighiales; Euphorbiaceae. The record is from RNAcentral.